This 402-nucleotide unclassified non-coding RNA is filed under the name Zea mays. RNAcentral's name for it is "misc RNA Zm00001eb415860". The record is from RNAcentral. Lineage: Eukaryota; Viridiplantae; Streptophyta; Magnoliopsida; Poales; Poaceae.
CUGGGCAAAUCCGGUGGCCAGAGAGCGCUCGCCAGGGUCGGGCGGAGCUCGCGCAACGGGGCUUCGUCCGGCCAGGUGGGCACACUAGCAGCGCUGGCUGCGGCUGAGCGCAGGGCUGGCAAGGGGCAGGUUCAGGGGAUCUUCAGGCGAGCUCCACGCAGGGGAAGGGAGCCACCGGGGCGCUGUGUCGCUCGGCCUCUGGCCAGGACGCACGCAUCCACGGGAGGGAGCAGGCCGCUAUGUCGGGAUUCGCAGGGAGCUAGGAGUCCGAGGGGGUUGAAGACGACGAAGUCUUACCUUGCGACGACGCACGGCAGGAAGAGUCUUCCGCGGCGGUGCUCAACAGCGAACUCGGCGGGGCUCCCAGCGCGCAGCGAGCUCAAGUCUAGGCGCGACGUAUGA